Molecule: transfer RNA, 67 nt
Filed under: bovine gut metagenome
Rfam family: tRNA
About the family: Transfer RNA (tRNA) molecules are approximately 80 nucleotides in length.
Source: RNAcentral
GAUGUAGCUCAAUGGAUUAGAGCACCAGAUUACGGAUCUGGGGGUUGCGGGUUCGAAUCCGGCCAUC